CGCUGGAACCCGCGCGCCACAAAGCCGCCGGCCCCGCGUUGCCUCCUCUCCCAGGCGUGGGGACCCAGGCCGCAACUGUAGGAAUCGACGCCAGGGCAAUCUAUGCAGAAGAAUGAAUGGGUGAAGCUGGCAUCUUGAAAAGUUGAAGCUGAUAGACUGAAGAAUGCUGAUUACAUAGCCCUGAGGCUGCAGAGAAUUUUUUCUCAGGCAGCCAAGAAGAUGGUGGACAUUGAGACUGAGCAUGCCUAUCACAAGCAGCUGACCAUUGUUCAAAGCAAGAAGAGGAUCCUGCUAAAGGAAACUGGCAAGCUAGGCUUCAGGAGGUCCAAAGAGACUAUUGAGGGCAUCUACACUGACAAGGAAUGCCUGUUCACUGGUAACAUCUCCACUGAGGGCAGAUCCUGUCUGGCAUGGUGACCAAGAUGAAGAUGCAGAGGACCACUGUCAUCCACAGAGACUAUCUCUACUACAUCCACAAGUACAAUUGCUUCGAGAAGUACCACAAGAACAUGUCCAGGCACCUGUUCCCCUGCUUCGGGAUGUCCAGAUCAGCGACAUUGUCAUGCUGGAUAAGUGCCGCUCCCUGAGCAAGACAGUGAACUUCAAUGUGCUCAAAGUCACCAAGGCCACAGACAUCAAGAAGCAAUUCCAUAAGUUCUGAGGCUGAAUGUCUGCCCGCUCCCUGAAAUGAAAUAAAGUUAUUUUUUCAUUCAUACACACAAAA
This is an RNA transcript of Cercocebus atys (sooty mangabey), 724 nucleotides long. It is a transcript of the gene named 40S ribosomal protein S11-like, with no coding region annotated. Lineage: Eukaryota; Metazoa; Chordata; Mammalia; Primates; Cercopithecidae. The transcript is spliced from 3 exons. The record is from RefSeq and is a predicted model, not a curated record.